GCGGGGGCCGUCGUAGAUAUUUCGCUCCUUCGAUCUCUAUCAAGAUCUGCACACGAGGAGCGGAGAGAGGGGUGUAGGAGUCAUACCUGCGAUGCAUCGAUCUUGGACUCCGUCGUCGGGGCGAGACCCGUCUAUCGGUGGUGGGGCCUGCUGGGUUUAGCAGGAGCCCGAUUUUUCUUCCGCUUCUCCUUCUGACCAGUGCCCUCAGUCAGUCACCAGUCGGAAGCUGCUUCGUCCAUGCGCAUGUAUUUGUACGCGUGCUCCAGCAAUUCUGCGUACGUCUUGGGGAGGGUCUUGUCUGUGAAAUAUGUGAACCGGGACCCCCUUAGCCCCCUC
This 336-nucleotide long non-coding RNA is filed under the name Elaeis guineensis (African oil palm). RNAcentral's name for it is "long non-coding RNA (EGUI_LNC078180)". The record is from RNAcentral. Lineage: Eukaryota; Viridiplantae; Streptophyta; Magnoliopsida; Arecales; Arecaceae.